This 376-nucleotide transfer-messenger RNA is filed under the name Alphaproteobacteria bacterium 40-19. It matches the Rfam family "Alphaproteobacteria transfer-messenger RNA". Rfam says of the family: Bacterial tmRNA, also known as 10Sa RNA or SsrA, is named for its dual tRNA and mRNA-like properties. Its role is to liberate the mRNA from a stalled ribosome. To accomplish this part of the tmRNA is used as a reading frame that ends in a translation stop signal. Lineage: Bacteria; Pseudomonadati; Pseudomonadota; Alphaproteobacteria. The record is from RNAcentral. RNAcentral also lists the same sequence under 1 other name.
GAUCUUGAUUAUCCCUUUUUUAUUUUUUAUACUGAAAAAGCUCUUUGAGCUAUGACGAUAAAUACUAUGCAUAAUAAGUGUUUCGGACCCGGGGGCAGAGCCCGGCACCUCCACCUGAAGAUGGAAUAACUUUUUUCAGGUGGGGGUGAUUUAGGAUUGACGUGCAUUGAACUGUAUAGCUUUCGUUCGAGAUGGUACCGGCGUUAUUGGGCCAAAAACAUAGAUGCGAACAUUAAAAACGCAUAUGCUUUCUUGAAGAAUUCUGUCCGCCCUGCGAACAGAUUCACACCUCUUGCUAUGGCAGCUUAACGCGCCCUAGUAUUUAGGUUCUAGAAAACAGCGGUUUGGGGGGCACCGGGCAACAGAAAGCCCCCCA